CUGCGGAAGGAUCAUUACCGAGUGAGGGCCCUCUGGGUCCAACCUCCCACCCGUGUUUAUUUUACCUUGUUGCUUCGGCGGGCCCGCCUUAACUGGCCGCCGGGGGGCUUACGCCCCCGGGCCCGCGCCCGCCGAAGACACCCUCGAACUCUGUCUGAAGAUUGUAGUCUGAGUGAAAAUAUAAAUUAUUUAAAACUUUCAACAACGGAUCUCUUGGUUCCGGCAUCGAUGAAGAACGCAGCGAAAUGCGAUACGUAAUGUGAAUUGCAAAUUCAGUGAAUCAUCGAGUCUUUGAACGCACAUUGCGCCCCCUGGUAUUCCGGGGGGCAUGCCUGUCCGAGCGUCAUUGCUGCCCUCAAGCACGGCUUGUGUGUUGGGCCCCGUCCUCCGAUCCCGGGGGACGGGCCCGAAAGGCAGCGGCGGCACCGCGUCCGGUCCUCGAGCGUAUGGGGCUUUGUCACCCGCUCUGUAGGCCCGGCCGGCGCUUGCCGAUCAACCCAAAUUUUUAUCCAGGUUGACCUCGGAUCAGGUAGGGAUACCCGCUGAACUUAAGCAUAUC
Molecule: ribosomal RNA, 559 nt
Filed under: Penicillium polonicum
Lineage: Eukaryota; Fungi; Ascomycota; Eurotiomycetes; Eurotiales; Aspergillaceae
Description: partial 18S rRNA
Rfam family: 5.8S ribosomal RNA (bases 194-346)
Source: RNAcentral